UACGGAGGGUGCAAGCGUUAUCCGGAUUCACUGGGUUUAAAGGGUGCGUAGGUGGGUUGGUAAGUCAGUGGCGAAAUCCCCGAGCUUAACUUGGGAACUGCCAUUGAUACUAUCAGUCUUGAAUACCGUGGAGGUCAGCGGAAUAUGUCAUGUAGCGGUGAAAUGCUUAGAUAUGACAUAGAACACCAAUUGCGAAGGCAGCUGGCUAUUCGGAUAUUGACACUGAGGCACGAAAGCGUGGGGAUCAAACAGG
This 253-nucleotide ribosomal RNA is filed under the name uncultured bacterium. RNAcentral's name for it is "partial 16S ribosomal RNA". It matches the Rfam family "Bacterial small subunit ribosomal RNA", at positions 524 to 776 of the family's 1533-position model. The record is from RNAcentral.